GCUGUACAUUGAUAUAACAGCAAAAGCCUGCAGAGAUGACAUGCUAAUGGUUUGGAGCAGACAAGAACAUUGCUCUCAUCACCCCAAGGACAUGGUAUAGCGGGAAGUAUUGGUGGGAGGUGGAUGGUUGGACAAGAUGAUCUUGGAGGUCUUUUCCAACCUUGGCAAUUCUAUGAUUUCAAGAGCAGCAAGGGGCAGGACAGGAUGGUACCAUUUUGAAACUGAUGAAGACGAACAUUUGAUUUUUCUGUAGAGAGCAACAAACAACGAACAAAACCUGCUGACAUGUGGUUAAUGGCAUCUCAAUGAAAAGGAAGACAGAGCACAUUAGGAGAAGGUCUGAAAUUAUGCUGCCUGUACAGAAACUCAUAUUUCAGCCCACGUGGGAAACGUUUGGACAAAUGGACUUUCCGAAAGAAAAGAAAACAUUUUAAGAGCCACAAGUAUUUCGCCUCAGGUAAUUUCCCCUUAAUCUUCCCAGUGACACCUCACCCAGAC
RNAcentral lists this long non-coding RNA (498 nucleotides) under Numida meleagris (helmeted guineafowl). Its description in RNAcentral is "lncRNA (ENSNMEG00000005931.1)". The record is from RNAcentral. Lineage: Eukaryota; Metazoa; Chordata; Aves; Galliformes; Numididae.